This 460-nucleotide ribosomal RNA is filed under the name uncultured bacterium. RNAcentral's name for it is "partial 16S ribosomal RNA". It matches the Rfam family "Bacterial small subunit ribosomal RNA", at positions 338 to 795 of the family's 1533-position model. The record is from RNAcentral.
CCUACGGGUGGCAGCAGUGAGGAAUAUUGGUCAAUGGACGAGAGUCUGAACCAGCCAAGCAGCGUGAAGGAUGACUGCCCUAUGGGUUGUAAACUUCUUUUAUAUGGGAAUAAAAUGUUACAAGCGUGGGCUUUUGUAUGUACCAUAUGAAUAAGGAUCGGCUAACUCCGUGCCAGCAGCCGAGGUAAUGCGGAGGAUCCGAGCGUUAUCCGGAUUUAUUGGGUUUAAAGGGAGCGUAGGUGGUUUGUUAAGUCAGUUGUUAAAGUGUGCGGCUCAACCCUAACAUUGCAGUUGAAACUGGCAGUCUUGAGUACGGUAGAAGUGGGCGGAAUUCGUGGUGUAGCGUUGAAAUGCUUAGAUCUCCCGAAGAACUCAGAUUGCGAAGGCAGCUCGCUGGACUGCAACUGACACUGAGGCUCGAAAGUGUGGGUAUCAAACAGGAUUAGAUACCCGUGUAGUC